This is a non-coding RNA of Cordylochernes scorpioides, 71 nucleotides long. Lineage: Eukaryota; Metazoa; Arthropoda; Arachnida; Pseudoscorpiones; Chernetidae. The record is from the annotation of a GenBank genome assembly.
CCACAGGGUAGCCUAGUGGAUAUGGCAUCUGAAGCGGAACACUGUGGGUUCGAUUCCCAUCUCUCCCUGGA